RNAcentral lists this transfer RNA (74 nucleotides) under Mycobacteroides abscessus subsp. abscessus. Its description in RNAcentral is "tRNA-Val(tac)". It matches the Rfam family "tRNA". From Rfam's summary of the family: Transfer RNA (tRNA) molecules are approximately 80 nucleotides in length. RNAcentral also lists the same sequence under 1 other name. Lineage: Bacteria; Bacillati; Actinomycetota; Actinomycetes; Mycobacteriales; Mycobacteriaceae. The record is from RNAcentral.
GGUCUCGUAGCUCAGUUGGGAGAGCGUCUGGUUUACACCCAGAGGGUCGGCGGUUCGAGCCCGUCCGAGAUCAC